UAUAUUGUUAGUAUAUAAAUAGUAUGAAAACAAAAAAUUAUGGCGGUGUUUUAAGCUUUUCAGAGGAAUUUGCUCUUUAAUGGAUAAUACGCCAAAAUCUUACUAGAAUUUGUUAUUUUCAGUUUGUAUACCACUAUUGAAGUAAUUAAUUAAAAUAAUUAUUUAAAUUUUUUUAAAUUAUAAAAAAUUUAAGUCAAGGUGCAGCUAAAAUUCUAGAAUGAAGUGAAUUACAUUUCUUAACAGAAUUAAAACAAUUUAAAUAAAAAUUAGGAUUUGAAAGUAAAAAUUCAAUACAAUGGUUUUUUGAAUUAAG
Molecule: ribosomal RNA, 313 nt
Filed under: Amblyomma latum
Lineage: Eukaryota; Metazoa; Arthropoda; Arachnida; Ixodida; Ixodidae
Description: partial small subunit ribosomal RNA
Source: RNAcentral